CAGGGACAAUGAUGUAGAUUCCCGUGCCAAAGGUCAUACGGGGGGAAACAGGAGACCCCUGACGCUAGCCUAGUGCAGUCUGACACCAAGCCCAGGCUUUUCCCCUUCAUGAGGCUGUUUCCCAGAGCCCAUGGAAACACAGCAGUAAGCAGCAAUGAGAAUCCUGAAAAGCCAUGCUCAUGAGGGCCCACCUUCAUCAGGCAUGGGGGGGGGGGGCAGCUAUGAGAACCAGAGAUCCAACUUUAGUAGUUUCAACCCCAAAGGGGCGGGUGUGUCCUCUCCAUUUUCAGAGAUUUCAGAUCCUCAAGCUUUUCUGCUCUGCCAUCCUCAGUAUUUGUCUUCCUUCCAUGUAUGUUAUCUCAUGGUUCUGGAUAGUUGCUGGGGCUCCAGCCAUCACAUCCAGGAGGGAGAAGAAAAGGAUCAAAAUGAGCUUGUGCUAUACUUUUCUUAAAGAGACUUCCAAGCAGUACCACUGAAAAACUUGAGUUUACAUCAUUGGCCACCCCAACUUCUCUGGAAAAGAUUACUUUUAAUUGGGUAUGUUGAUCUCCAGAAUGAAACCGAUGCUGUUACCAAGGAAGAAAGAGAACUGAUGCUGUGUACAUAACUAGCAGUGUCUCCCACACCACAGUGCAUAACUAGCAGUGUCUCCCCCACCACAGUACAUAGCUAACUGGCAGUGUCUCCCCCACCACAGUAUAUAGCUAACUGGCAGUGUCUCCCACACCACAGUACAUAACUAGCAGUGUCUCCCACACCACAGUUCAUAACUAGCAGUGUCUCCCCCACCACAGUACAUAACUAGCAGUGUCUCCCCCACCACAGUACAUAACUAGCAGUGUCUCCCCCACCACAGUACAUAACUAGCAGUGUCUCCCACACCACAGUACAUAACUAGCAGUGUCUCCCCCACCACAGUACAUAGCUAACUAGCAGUGUCUCCCACACCACAGUACAUGACUAGCAGUGUCUCCCACACCACAGUACAUGACUAGCAGUGUCUCCCACACCACAGUACAUGACUAGCAGUGUCUCCCACACCACAGUACAUGACUAGCAGUGUCUCCCACACCACAGUACAUGACUAGCAGUGUCGUCUCCCACACCGGCUGCAGUCUUUCUGCUCCAGACCCAGGUAAGGAGAUUCUGAUUCCCAGCGGUUCCCGAGGAAGCCCCAGUCCUCCCCGUGAGUGCACAUCCCCAGGUGCUGUAUUCCCGUGAUCCCCUCCAGCCCGGUCUCUGCUGGGGUCAUCUCAUUUGUGGAUGGUCCCACUGUCCGGCAUGCUCUGUCUGUGCCUGGGGGGCCCAGCUUCGGGCUGCUAAACCCCUCUCCUGUGUGUACUCGCGGCCACACGCACACCUGCAGGCGCACACGUCUGUGCUUCAGCCUCUGCACAGGCAUCUGCUCUUAGGCCUGGGGGGGCAAGAUCCCAGCAGAGCAGGAGGUCGAAGCCUUGCCCUCGUGGCCCAAGGACCAAGCAGCACAGACCGCUGAGCAUCCCUGUGCUUUAGAGGCCUCAGACUUCCAUCAUCUUGUCCCAUUCAGAGGGGCCUGUCUAGCCUGGGGGCCCCUCUCCUCCAUGGUCAUUUCCAUGGUCGCAGGCCAAGGGUCCCUUCCAAGGACAUGAUAUGGGACAGGGGGCUUAGGGGAUGAUCCGUCCCACUCGGGGGGAUCUUGUAGGCAAACGGGAAGGUGGGAGAGGGCAGGAAGGGGCUCAAAGGCAUGGCCCAAAGGAAGCGUGGCUUGGCAGGUCCCCUGGGGCUCUGCAGCCUGAAAGGGGCCACAGUUGCCCACCUGGAGCCGAGGGUGGGUGGCUCAGACCGCUGUGUUGUCAGUCAUUGGCAGAGGAUGAGCAGUGUGACCACCCCGGCUUCUGUGGACCACCAGGUCUCAGUGGAAGGUGCAGGGGACACUCAAUAGGUGGCCCAGGACUCGCCAGCCUUUCCCUGGUGAGGGGCUGAGCAGGUCACCAAGGGUGUCAUGGCCCUCUGCCUUCUCCAGGGCCUCUAGAAAUUCUCAAAUCUCCUCCCUUAUUUAGGCGAAAGAUUUAACAGCCCCCUUAGGACCGCCCCAAGCCCCCACCUUUGCACACAUAUCCAGCUGCUCGGCUGCACAGCCAGGUGCGGGCACCCAUCAGGAGGCAAGUGGGUUCCCAGCCUCUCCUCCUGGUGAACAGAAAAUGCCCUGAAGGCACCGGCUCUGAGUGACAGCCAAAUGUGCUGCCUCCCAGGACGCCACCGUUGGAGACGGUGCAUUUCCCCUGCCAAACCAAAUAAGGUCCCCAGCUGGCCCACCUGCCUGAGCGGCGGCCUGCGCGCUCCCGCGGCGGCCCGGGAGGCGGCCGCCCGGCGCGCUCCAGCUUGGCUCGGUGGCAGGUGACGCACAGCCCCCGAAGGGUUGUGUAAUCCUGAGCGGUGGCACCUUGGUUUCCACUAAAAAUACACCCUGGAACUGGGGCACCGUGGAGGAUCGCUGGCAAACCGGGAAGAGGGAUGAAUAAGGACGCCUGAUCCCGUCUGAGUCAGCGCUGAGCUCCGCGUGGACCCCCUCCGCUCAUCACUGUCAUCGGUAAGAGCUCCAGCAGUCCCCGGGGCCUGGGGUCUUGUGAGUCACCGCGAGGACUUGCCCGGGUGUAAACAGAGGCGUGAGCGCAGAAGUGGGUGCUCUGGGCCGGGCCCUAACCCGCCCUGGAGCAGGGGCCUGGCUGACCUUGGGGACCCGCGCCCAGGACCCUGCUGAAUCAGGACGAAAUGCUUUCAGCCAUAAGUCACAGGAAACCCGAUCGAUGCUGCCCGGCUGGAAGGCUGUGCGUGUUCAUUCAUGAGACCUCUGUAGGCAGGGAGCCUCCCCGCGUCAGGAAGGAUCCAGACCCCUCCAGCCUGUCUUUCUCGGCAUUUUGAUUCCUCAUCCUCAAACUUAUUGCCUCAAGUCACAAAAUGACUGCCACGGCUCUGGAUAUCAAGUCCUUAUGAAUAGUAUCCAGAGCUCGAUGGAGUUACUCUCUGUCCCCUCCCCCGCCCCAAUGGCGUCCUUCUCUCUGGGGAGCCCUCUCUUCUACAACCGGGAAAACUUUCCUCUUAUCUCACUGACCAGAAGCAGGUCACGUUUACCCCUGCGCCCGUCACCCGCAGAGGGAUGGAUUGGGCCAAUCAGGAGUCACUCCGGGAGGCUGCGCACAUUGAGCAAGCCAGUCCAGGGCAGCUCCCGGGCUGUGAAGCGGGGCUGCUCCACGCCCCCUGCCUGGAAUCUGGGUGGGGAGCCUCCGAUGGAGCCUGCUGGGCCGAGGCGGGAACACUACUCUUGCCCGUGGGAGCUGGAAAAAGUCCACAAGCACAGUCUCUGUGAUGGGAGAGAAGUUCCUUUCGUGACCGAGGAGCUGCUGGGUGUGGACGUCCAGGCGCAGACCGCCUGACCAUCUGGAGGAGGAACCCCCAGCGGCAUCCAGGACCUUGCACUGAAGAACAGACAAGAAUCACCUGGAGGGGCUGGGGAUGUGGCUCAAGCGGUAGCGCGCUCGCCUGGCAUGCGUGCGGCCCGGGUUCGAUCCUCAGCACCACAUACAAAACGGAGAUGUUGUGUCCGCCAAUAACUAAAAAAUAAAUAUUAAAAAAAAAAUUCUCUCUUAAAAAAAAAAAAAAGAAUCACCUGGAGGCCUGAGCGGGGAGGAAGUGAGAGCUGGGGUCGUCGGGAGGCCACGAGGGGCAGCGGGGGGAGCCCGGCCCGCGGACAGUACCUGGACUGCCGCCCAGCGCCUAAGAGAUUCGAGGCACAAUCCCAGGGCCUGUGACUGCGGGGCCUGGCCUGGCCAGAGGAUGCUGGAAGGCUUCCCGGAGGAAGUAGCUUUCAAGAUGAGAUCUGCAAGAGGAAAGGGUCACCAGCGGGGGAGGGAAAUUUCCCGGCACAGGGAGCAGCCUGCGUACAAGCGUGCAGCGUGCGCCAGCCAGCGUGCCCUCGCUGUGACAAAAACACCCAAGACGAUUAACUUAAAAGAGAAAAGGUUGUCAUUGGCUUGUGGUUUCAGAGGCUCCAUCUACAGCCAGGUGAACGGGCUACUCUUAGGUGUCUGAUGGAGGGGCCAGGUGGCCAAACCACUAUCAUCAUAAGCCAAGGAGAAGGAAGGAGGGCUGGGCCCCCAGCCCCUCCAGGACAAGCCCUCUAGGGACCCUCACCCCACCACAGGCCACAGCGAGCUGGAGAGGUUGGAGGAGGGCCUGGGGUCUGCCACCGUGAGUGGCAAGGAGACAACCAAAGAGAGAGGCUGCAUAUGUUAUCUGCAGAGACCGGGGAAGCUAUCAACAGGGAUGACAUGAUCAUUGCGCUUCAGAAAAAGAUUGGAAAAAAUGUAAACGCCCCUCCAUAAGCGACCGAGUCAACAAAUUAUGGUACCUCCACCCAAGGCAAAGUUUAGGAAUUUGAAAGAAAUUGGAGUUCGAGGGCCUUUCUGUGCAGAAAGGGAACAAUCUCAAAAACAAUUAGCUGAACCACCGCAGAACACAACAGUAUGUACAGAAGGCCGCUAACAGGAAGAGGGCAGGAACGUCCCCACAGGCCCCUGUGAUAAAGGCCUUCUUUAUCUUCUGCAGCGCUAUUGGGAGGUGGGGCCUUUAAGAGGAGGGGCCUAGUGGGAGGAAGUGAGGUCAUGGGGGUGCGCCUGGAAGAGGAUCAUGGGAUGCCAGGCCUCUCCCUCUUCCUCUGUUUCCUGGCUCCCAGGAAGGGAAUAGCCUCACCCACCAUGUGCUUCUGCCUCAAUGUACUGCCAGGGGCCCAAGGCCAUGGGGCUAAUCCGCCAUGAAGUAAAACCUCCAAAACCGUGACCCAAAGUUAACCUUCUCUCUCUCUCUCUCUCUCUCUCUCUCUCUCUCUCUCUCUCUCUCUCUCUUUUUUGGUCCUGGGGAUUGAACCCAGGGGUCUUAACCACUGAGCCACAUCCCCAGAGCCCCCCACCCGCUUUUUAUUUAGAGCUAGGGUCCCGCUGAGUUGCUGAGUGCUUUGCUAAGUUGCUGAGGCUGGCUUUGAACUCACAAUCUUUCCUCCUUAUAAGGUGGCUAACUCAAGUAUUUGUUACAGUAACAGAAAGCUGACACAAUUCAUUCAACAAAAGUACAAAGCAACCUUAGAACUCAUAGUUAAGGCUCACAAGAUCACUGUCAAAGAAACAUGAAACACGGGCUAAAAAGUCAUUCUGGCUCGGCAGUUUCUUAUCUUCGGACCCAACAAUUGCACUUUUCAGUAUCUGUGCAAGAGAAGUGAAAAAGUACGUUCACUGAAAGACAUGAAUGUUCAUAGCAGCCUUAUUUAUAAGGACCCCAAACUGGAAGUGGCCAAGUUUCACCCAACUGGUAGGUGAAUGAACAAGUUAUGGUAAGUCAACACAAGGAAAGAGUACUCAGCCGUGAGCGGGAACAAACAUGGACCCACGCACAAUGCAGAUGACUCCAGUGAACGAAGCCAGACACGGAAUGCUGAUCGCCCUAGUCACAUGUAUGUGGCACUCUGGAAAAGGACAAACCAUAGGGACAGAUGUUAAACUGUGACAGUUUGAAUUACUUCUAAUAAAAUUUCAGGAGCUGAGGUGGAAGAGGGAUUGAAAGGACACGGGGCAACAGAAACAGAAGUGUCCCGUGUCUCGGCUGAGAUGGUGGUUACCGGCCUUAGGCAUUCAUCAAAAUCCUUGCUCUGAACGAGCACGAAAUUCAGAAAGUGAAUUCUAUCGUUUGUCAAUGAGACCUCAAUAAACUUGACUGGGAAACAAACCAACUCAGGUUCUUGUUUUUUCAGACUCUGAGAAGAGGCUGCGCAGUCUCCCAUCCCCGC
Molecule: long non-coding RNA, 5815 nt
Filed under: Marmota monax (woodchuck)
Lineage: Eukaryota; Metazoa; Chordata; Mammalia; Rodentia; Sciuridae
Source: RNAcentral